RNAcentral lists this long non-coding RNA (305 nucleotides) under Helianthus annuus (common sunflower). Its description in RNAcentral is "sRNA HanXRQr2_Chr04g0164801". Lineage: Eukaryota; Viridiplantae; Streptophyta; Magnoliopsida; Asterales; Asteraceae. The record is from RNAcentral.
UACUCUCACUCUCUCUUGCGAUUCUAUACCUAGAAUAAACUCAUCUCUGGAUCCACUUUCAAGUCGACCCCAAUCACCGAUUUCCUCUGGUUAUGCUAAAAACGUCUAGGGAUUUGCAGAUCUUGAAAAGAGAAGAGAAAUAUAAAGAGAACGUUGCGGGCUAUGACCUCCGACGACGAUAAAGCAGGUCAUCACCUAAGUUCAGCACAUAAGCAGGGUUUGCUGUGUUAAGGGAUGGCCAAAGAAGGGAUUACAUCAUCAUCCCAGCAUCAGCAACUUUCUUUCUUUUCAAAACUGCAGCAUAC